UACGUAGGGGGCAAGCGUUGUCCGGAUUUAUUGGGCGUAAAGAGCGUGUAGGCGGCCAGGUAGGUCUGCUGUGAAAACUCGAGGCUUAACCUCGAGCUGUCGGCGGAAACCAUCUGGCUAGAGUCCGGAAGAGGAGAAUGGAAUUCCCGGUGUAGCGGUGAAAUGCGUAGAGAUCAGGAAGAACACCCGUGGCGCAAGCGACCACCUGGCCGAGACCUGACGCUGAGGCACGAGAGCGUGGGGAGCGAACCGG
Molecule: ribosomal RNA, 253 nt
Filed under: uncultured bacterium
Lineage: Bacteria
Description: partial 16S ribosomal RNA
Rfam family: Bacterial small subunit ribosomal RNA
Source: RNAcentral